AUUGAACGCUGGCGGCAUGCCUAACACAUGCAAGUCUAACGCGUGGCGGACGGGUGAGUAAUGUAUGGGAAUCUGCCCGAUAGCGGGGGAUAACUACUGGAACCGGUGGCUAAUACCGCAUACCAUCGGAUGGCCCCAUAUGGGCUUAGCUAGUAGGUGGGGUACAGGCUCACCUAGGCGACGAUCCCUAGCUGGUCUGAGAGGAUGACCAUGCACACGGGAAAUGAGAAACGGACCAGACUCUUACGGGAGGCAGCAGUGGGGAAUAUUGGACAAUGGGCGAAAGCCUGAUGCAGCCAUGCCGCGUGUAGGAAGAAGGCCUUAGGGUUGUAAAGUACUUUCAGCGGGGAGGCGGUACCCGCAGAAGAAGCACCGGCUAACGACGUGCCAGCAGCCGCGGUAAUAC
Molecule: ribosomal RNA, 406 nt
Filed under: uncultured bacterium
Lineage: Bacteria
Description: partial 16S ribosomal RNA
Rfam family: Bacterial small subunit ribosomal RNA
Source: RNAcentral